This is a long non-coding RNA of Myiozetetes cayanensis, 673 nucleotides long. RefSeq lists it as uncharacterized. The transcript is spliced from 4 exons. NCBI's taxonomy places the organism in Eukaryota, Metazoa, Chordata, Aves, Passeriformes, Tyrannidae. The record is from RefSeq and is a predicted model, not a curated record.
CAGCCCUGUGCCUUGACUGCCUUCGGGAGAAAGUUUCUUGGGAAUGUAUCCAGCACCUGGCAAGCCAAAUCCUUACAAGCUCUGAAACUGAAGACAGAAAAAUGACCAGUGGAAUAGUGCUGAUUGGUCAGAGGUGCUUGUAUGUGCAAAGAAAUCAGCUCUCCAGUCCAUGAGCCAUCCUCCAGCUCAGAACCGCUACAAACGGGUGUGACUCAUUGCACAGCCAGAGGUUAUAAUGAAGUAUCCCACUCAUCUUUUAGCUCACCCUUUGUUCAAGACAAUGCAGAUUGCGGAAGGUUUCUGAGGAGGAGUAUCUGAGAUAAGUUGCUAGGAAGAAGGAGCACAGUUCUACUGGAAAGAGUGUCUUGCUGCUGACUAUGAAAAUGAUGUGGAAAUCAUGGACUGAAUUAAAGAUUUUUUGAUAUUGGUAUAUUGAUGGAAAGCUUCCUGGUAUCAACAGCUCAUGUGAAGUAGAGGAAGGGAUUCCUUCAUCCCAGAAGAAAUGUGUCCAAAUCUGGAGCUUUUCUGAAUCAAUUUGGUCUUUUAGUUGACUUCUACACAAGUCUGGCCCUGGAGCAGAGGUACUAAGUUCAUGUUACAUUAAAGCAAACCACAUAAACUUGAGAGGAUAUAAAAACAAUUUGUUCCUAACAGAAGGAGCUUCCAGAGCCAC